CACACCAAGAGAUUCCUCCUUUCUCGAUUUUGCAGGUCGAUGUUUUUAAUAAACUAUGGUGGG
Molecule: transfer RNA, 63 nt
Filed under: Colus islandicus
Lineage: Eukaryota; Metazoa; Mollusca; Gastropoda; Neogastropoda; Colidae
Description: tRNA-Cys
Source: RNAcentral